Olea europaea var. sylvestris is the source of this 540-nucleotide long non-coding RNA. RefSeq lists it as uncharacterized. The transcript is spliced from 3 exons. Lineage: Eukaryota; Viridiplantae; Streptophyta; Magnoliopsida; Lamiales; Oleaceae. The record is from RefSeq and is a predicted model, not a curated record.
UUUUGUCCGUUGAAUGUUAUUCUACUCUACAGUAACCUUCUGCUGUCUAUUGCAGGUCACGAACUGCUGUGGCUCCAUUGGAACGAUUAAAAAUAUUGCUACAGGUCCAAAAUCCACAUAACAUAAAAUACAGUGGUACUGUUCAAGGCUUAAAGUAUAUCUGGAGAACUGAGGGCUUUAGGGGCUUAUUCAAAGGCAAUGGCACCAAUUGUGCUCGAAUUGUCCCAAAUUCAGCAGUCAAGUUCUUCAGCUAUGAGCAAGCCUCCAAGGGUAUAUUAUAUCUGUACCAGGUGCAAACUAACAAUGGUACGUCUUUGUUAGUAUAUGUACCCAAUAAAAGUUGGCUUUUCAGUUACCCUUGUCUUAGCAAAGAUUCCUUUCUGUACAUGUUGGACAUCUGUGGGUAAAAUUACAUUUUCAAUUUUACUUUCUAUGAUGGCAGCACCCUUUCUCCAGUUUAUGAUCUAUGAUCAUGUGCUUUCCGUGUAACUAUUAUCAUACUCCGAUUUAAGUUGAAGGAGAAGUCAUAAUUUUUUGUCA